RNAcentral lists this ribosomal RNA (374 nucleotides) under uncultured bacterium. RNAcentral describes it as "bacterial SSU rRNA". It matches the Rfam family "Bacterial small subunit ribosomal RNA", at positions 524 to 896 of the family's 1533-position model. The record is from RNAcentral.
UACAGAGGGUGCAAGCGUUAAUCGGAAUUACUGGGCGUAAAGCGCACGUAGGUGGGUUUGUAAGUUGUUGGUGAAAAGCCUGGGCUUAACCUGGGUCGGUCCUGCAAAACUGUAAACCUAGAGUGUAUUAGAGGGAAGUGGAAUUUCCGGUGUAGCAGUGAAAUGCGUAGAUAUCGGAAGGAACAUCAGUGGCGAAGGCGACUUCCUGGAAUAUAACUGACACUGAGGUGCGACAGCGUGGGGAGCAAACAGGAUUAGAUACCCUGGUAGUCCACGCCGUAAACGAUGAAAACUAGCUGUUCGGUUGCGAUGUCAAUCGAGUAGCGAAGCUAACGCGUUAAGUUUUCCGCCUGGGGAGUACGGUCGCAAGACUA